CCUACGGGAGGCAGCAGUGGGGAAUAUUGCACAAUGGGGGAAACCCUGAUGCAGCGACGCCGCGUGAAGGAAGGAGUAUUUCGGUAUGUAAACUUCUAUCAGCAGGGAAGAAAAUGACGGUACCUGACUAAGAAGCCCCGGCUAACUACGUGCCAGCAGCCGCGGUAAUACGUAGGGGGCAAGCGUUAUCCGGAUUUACUGGGUGUAAAGGGAGCGUAGGCGGCGAUGCAAGUCAGAAGUGAAAGCCCGGGGCUCAACUCCGGGACUGCUUUUGAAACUGUAUGGCUGGAGUGCAGGAGAGGCAGGUGGAAUUCCUAGUGUAGCGGUGAAAUGCGUAGAUAUUAGGAGGAACACCAGUGGCGAAGGCGGCUUGCUGGACUGUAAAUGACGCUGAGGCUCGAAAGCGUGGGGAGCAAACAGGAUUAGAUACCCUUGUAGUC
RNAcentral lists this ribosomal RNA (440 nucleotides) under uncultured bacterium. RNAcentral's name for it is "partial 16S ribosomal RNA". It matches the Rfam family "Bacterial small subunit ribosomal RNA", at positions 338 to 795 of the family's 1533-position model. The record is from RNAcentral.